UUCCAACACAGAAUUACAUGCUCAUCUGGUUGAACGAUGGAGGAAGACAUUUAUUAUAAUUGAUGCAACCAGAAGAUAUUUUUUCCUCCAAGUCUCAUUAACCAGUGGUUCUCAAUGCUGUCAGGAUCACCUGCAUAAGAUUGUUAAAACUCAGGGUGCUGGGCCCCACCACCAGACUUUGAUUCAGUGGGUUCGAGAUGGUAUAUUUCUGACAAAUUCCCAGGUGCUGCCGAUGCUGCAGGUUCAAGCACCAGAUUUUGAGACCCACUGAAAUAAGCUAUUACUUGUGUGGAAAUGUCCGAGCCAGUUAUCAGGAGCUGAACUGCAGAUGACCCAAGUUCUGAUUGUGUGGCUAAAUCAUCCCACUGUUACUCCUAAGAGAAAUAUUUUUCCCUGAUAUAAGAAUGUGGGUGAGUAAUAAGAUGUCAAGACUUCCAGUCUUUUUUUUUUUUCUACAGACAGUACAUAGAGAAUUGUAUGGCUGUUUAUGAGCCGGGUUGAUUCUGUUGUCUUUUCUUUUUCAUCACAGAUGAUCAUAGAAAUAUCUUGCUGUAAAAGCACCUCACAGUUUCUUCUGAAAUGAAACCACACUUCCUUUCUAUUCUUUUCAGCUCAGUUCUGCUGUUCAUGCCGGGGCUGGGGAGAUUUUCCAUCACAGGCUUCUUAAAAUUUAUGAUCUUUCUAGGGUAUGAGCUUUCAGUUCC
RNAcentral lists this long non-coding RNA (704 nucleotides) under Canis lupus familiaris (dog). RNAcentral's name for it is "lncRNA (ENSCAFG00845025090.1)". The record is from RNAcentral. Lineage: Eukaryota; Metazoa; Chordata; Mammalia; Carnivora; Canidae.